RNAcentral lists this ribosomal RNA (580 nucleotides) under Scinax rostratus group sp. ABGD cluster 26. Its description in RNAcentral is "partial large subunit ribosomal RNA". It matches the Rfam family "Bacterial large subunit ribosomal RNA", at positions 1808 to 2597 of the family's 2925-position model. Lineage: Eukaryota; Metazoa; Chordata; Amphibia; Anura; Hylidae. The record is from RNAcentral.
CAAAAACAUCGCCUCUUGCCCAAAAUAAGAGGUCCAGCCUGCCCAGUGACACAUGUUCAACGGCCGCGGUAUCCUAACCGUGCGAAGGUAGCGUAAUCACUUGUUCUUUAAAUGAGGACUAGUAUGAAUGGCAUCACGAGGGCUAUACUGUCUCCUUUUUCUAAUCAGUGAAACUAAUCUCCCCGUGAAGAAGCGGGGGUAAAACUAUAAGACGAGAAGACCCUAUGGAGCUUUAAAUUUUUACUCAAAUACCCCCCACUCUCCCAACUUCCUAGUAUCACACACUAUUUUGGUAUAAUGAGGUAAAAUUUUAGGUUGGGGUGACCGCGGAGUACAAAAAAACCUCCACAUUGAAACAGGCCUAUAAGCCUCAAGAAGUGGAUUACGAUCCUACUCAUUAAAAAAUUAACAUCUAUUGACCCAAAUUUUUGAUCAACGAACCAAGUUACCCUAGGGAUAACAGCGCAAUCCCCUUUAAGAGUCCCUAUCGCCAAGGGGGUUUACGACCUCGAUGUUGGAUCAGGGUAUCCCAGUGGUGCAGCCGCUACUAAUGGUUCGUUUGUUCAACGAUUAAAACCCU